RNAcentral lists this long non-coding RNA (1399 nucleotides) under Phasianus colchicus (ring-necked pheasant). RNAcentral's name for it is "lncRNA (ENSPCLG00000009650.1)". The record is from RNAcentral. Lineage: Eukaryota; Metazoa; Chordata; Aves; Galliformes; Phasianidae.
GAUGGUAAUUUGAGCCAUGGAAGCAGCAGUGGACUUUAAUAGCCUUCAAUACUCCCUACACAGAGGUAUUCCUGAAGGGCUCUAAUGGAUGAGGUGCACCCUGCUGUGACCACAGCCCAGUUGCAGGGUGCACAAUUAACAAACAUACAGUUUGCAGAGUAGCAUAGUUAGAACAGUAUUUUACAGAUUUUAUAUUUAAAAAGAUUACUGCGACAGUAAGUAAUCAACAGUCAAAAGCAACAAUCAAAAAUAAAUGAAAUGCCCACUCGUGUCCUAGGCUUACAGUAGAAAACACUAAAGGGAGGGAUCUCCAGAAAGAGACUGUCACAGAGUUAUCUCUAGAUCUGAGUCUGUGAUGGGGGCACAAACCCAGGUGUGGUAGUGAGGGUCUGGCGCCCGGAAGAUAUCGCGUUGUACGGGAAGACAGGGUCCCCCUCCCGAUAGCCAAUAGCGUUCAGUGCCCAGGUUAUAUAAGGCUGUUUUUCCUGCCAAUAAACGCCAUUUGCUGUCCACCACAUUGGUGUCAGCGAGCCGAUGGACCGAGCGACCUGGGAUUGGUCGCCGUGCCGUUCCCGAACCAGGUCGCCACGCCUACGAUAGGCAACAAGUGGUGCCGAAACCCGGGAUUGUCGCCUGGACGGGUGAACGGCGGCCGGAGCGGCAGGACCAGCCCGGCGGGGAGGGCGCUCCCGGACCAACAAGGAGGAUGGAAGUCCUUGUGAAGGCAGCAGUCGACUCCUCGACCCUGCCUGCGGAAGCGAAAGGCCCGGUUGCCACCAAGGCGGCCCACAAGAGUGCGCCGGCCACAGGCGGCGUGACCAGCCCGGCACGGUGGUGCUGCACAAGAUCCGCCGCUACUGGAAAUCCACGGAGCUGCUGAUCCGCAAGCUGCCCUUCCAGCGCCUGGUGUGCAAGAUCACACAGGACUUCAAGACCGACCUGCGCUUCCAGAGCCCAGCCGUAGGUGAGCGAGGCCUACCUGGUGGGGCUCUUCAAGGCACCAUCAUGCCCGAGGACAUCCAGCUCACCUGGCGCAUCCAUGGGGAGUGCACCUGAGGCCACAGCCCAUCCGCUUUUUUCUUCCGAUUAACAUCAUGUUGGUAGAGCACCAACAACUGUUAUAAGAAUGUUCUUGUUCAGAGCACCUUAUGUUUUCUAUUCGAGUUUUCUAUUGAAGAUUGUUCUAUUCGAGUUUUCUAUUGAAGAUUGUUCUAUAUUGUUAUAUUUUACCUAAUUUAAUUGUGCAUAGGGAGGGGGGAAAUGUGGUAGUGAGGGUCUGGCGCCCGGAAGAUAUCGCGUUGUACGGGAAGACAGGGUCCCCCUCCCGAUAGCCAAUAGCGUUCAGUGCCCAGGUUAUAUAAGGCUGUUUUUCCCGCCAAUAAACGCCAUUUGCCGUCCA